CGCACAUUGCGCCCACUAGUAUUCUGGUGGGCAUGCCUGUUCGAGCGUCAUUAAGUCCACUCAAGCCCUUUUGCUUGGUAUUGGGAGACUGCUUCAGUGCAGCUCCUCAAAGACAGCGGCGGAGUCGUGUUUUCCUCUGAGCUUAGUAAUUACUUUCUAGCUUGUGAGCGAGGCGCGUCCCCUGCCGUAAAACCCCCAUCUUUUUAAUGGUUGACCUCGGAUCAGGUAGGAAUACCCGCUGAACUUAA
This 248-nucleotide unclassified non-coding RNA is filed under the name Ascomycota sp. RNAcentral describes it as "partial contains 5.8S ribosomal RNA, internal transcribed spacer 2, and large subunit ribosomal RNA". Lineage: Eukaryota; Fungi; Ascomycota. The record is from RNAcentral.